AAGGGUAUAGCUCAGUGGUAGAGUGCCUGCUUAGCAUGCAUGAGGUCCUGAGUUCAAUCCCCAGUGCCUCCA
Molecule: transfer RNA, 72 nt
Filed under: Camelus bactrianus (Bactrian camel)
Lineage: Eukaryota; Metazoa; Chordata; Mammalia; Artiodactyla; Camelidae
Also listed under: 2 other names
Rfam family: tRNA
About the family: Transfer RNA (tRNA) molecules are approximately 80 nucleotides in length. Their secondary structure includes four short double-helical elements and three loops (D, anti-codon, and T loops).
Source: Rfam by way of RNAcentral